GCUGUCAAUGAAUCUCAUUAAUUAAUUCAAUACAAUGAAACAAAUUUGAUUUUCCUACAUAGUAAUAAAUAAUAGUUGGAUGCACAUUGGCUUUUACAACUACCCCUUUCAACUCUUCCUUCAACCCUCAGUCUUCCUCGUCACAGUCUUGAUGGGAACCUUCAUUCUUUGUUUGCUCACAACAAACCACUGCAAGCCACUGAAAAAAGUUGGAAAAAUCGAAAACUGCAACACAUGAUUUUGACUUGCAAAUCAAGGAAGGAUUGGUCCUUAUAGAGAUAGAGAGGUACAUCAAACUUUUGGUUUUUGAUUUAUGAAGUGGAGUGUGUGUGUGUGUUUUUGUUUUUGUUUUUUUAAAUUAAUAAUAUCAUGGCAACAAAAAACUGGUGGCAUUGUAACUUUAAUGUAUGAAAUGUAUAUAUUUGCACAUAAUAUUGUACUUUAAAUCCUGAAGUAUAAAAAUAUUCCAUGCACAAAAGAAAAGAAAAUAUAAGAAGCUGCCCUUAGAUACUACAAUUCCCCUUUAAAGAGAGGAAAUAAUAACAAUA
RNAcentral lists this long non-coding RNA (548 nucleotides) under Physcomitrium patens. RNAcentral describes it as "long non-coding RNA (PPAT_LNC005734)". The record is from RNAcentral. Lineage: Eukaryota; Viridiplantae; Streptophyta; Bryopsida; Funariales; Funariaceae.